This 45-nucleotide non-coding RNA is filed under the name Trichobilharzia regenti. Lineage: Eukaryota; Metazoa; Platyhelminthes; Trematoda; Strigeidida; Schistosomatidae. The record is from RNAcentral.
AUACGGCUGACGAGUCCCAAAUAGGACGAAAUGCGCAUCCUGGAU